CCUCGUCUUUGGUGGUUGAGUGCUGCCACUUGACUCCUGUUGCCCGUUGCCCUGGGAUCCAUAUGUUCCCAAUCUUUAAGGUUUUCCAAUUGAGUGUCUGUGGUUCCCACUCUAAAGCCUAGCCUACAGAGAAGAGCCCCUGAAGAGCCCUCUUCAAGGGGCUCUUCAAGGAUGCUGGACUCCCUUCACAAAUUUAUUCCUCAAAGCAUUAGUCCUGUGGACCCUCAGUGUGGGUGAGUAGGUCUUAAAUGAGUACACUGUAACAUUACAGUCUCCCUACACCUCUGAACUCCUUCCUCUAUAUUAAAACAAAGCAGGUCAGCCAUUUACAAUUGGCCUUCUUUUGGUCCAUGUUUCAGCCAAUUAAUCAACAAACUGUUAGAGCCCUUUCUAACUCCCCUGCAGCAUUAAAUGCAAAAUCUCUGGUUAGUGAUCCCAUAUCAAUAAAUUUGGCCUGACCCAACUUUGUGCUUCUUUCAUGUUAUCCCACAUCCUCAAUAUCCAUCGAUGUUCCCUGGAGUCUGUUGGUAUAAAUUAGAAAACUUAAAUAGUUCUUUUGGAGCAUAUUGUACCUCCUCAUGGGUCAUGUUUUGUAUCUCACCAUUAGGGGUCUUCUGGGAUUUGACUCCAGUUAUAGGUCUAGAAGCAAAGUGGGAUGAUGGGGAUGGAUCCUGAAGAGAAUCAGCACUGUCUUGCAUGCUGGUUAUAUCAGAAGAAAUCAUUACUGUUUCCUCAGGUAAUACCAGGUUAGCCCCUCAAAUGUAGAUGAAGAAGCUGCUACCACCUACAGUAGAGGUAGAAAAAGCUCUUCCCCUGCAAAGAAGACUCAUCAGAGUACAGGGGUUCAAUGUUUCCAGCUUCAUCAGAGUCUUCCCAUAUGUCCCUAGUCCCACUUACAGGAUCUCAUUCUUCCCAAUCAAUGCCUUUGCUAUAACAGUAAACACCUUGUGAAGCUGGGAGUUCAGCUUACAUUGUAAUACAGCUAAUAACAAAAUGAGGUUCUGUGUUUGAUUUUCACCAGUUUCAGCCCUGUGGCUGGAGGAGAUAAGAUUCUCCUUCAGGGCACACAUAGGAGCUCUUAGGUCAUUUAUGGGAUGCUUGAGCUGAGAAAUGGGAUCCCUUAGUUCAUCCUUUUCUUUCACUACUUGUCCAACAAUGUUAGAGGCAACCAACCAAUGGCAUUAUCCCUUAGUUUCCAAAAAAUGUUCAGAAGUAUCAUAUACAGCAUCACUUAUCUCUUUGCUUCAUAUAGUAGUUGAUCAGAAGUACCUAGUGCAGAUAUUUUAUGUAUCUCUAUACAUAGCUCGCCAUGGACUAUUAGUCUUUAUAUAAGAUUAGAGAGCCAGUUUCAGAAACCCCAGAACCAAUUCAGAAAACUCAUUCUUAAAAUUCUGUUCCUCUAGAAUCACUCCUGGUAUCAAAUCUGUAUUAGAGUCCUUCAGAGAAAUAGAACCAGCAGGCUAUGUGCUUACAUGAUUAUGGAGCCUAAGAAGUCUCAUGAUCUGCCAUUUGCAAGCUGAAAGCAAGGGAAGCUGGUGGUAUAAUUUAUUCUAAGUAUAAAGGCCUAAGAAUCAGUGGAGCAUAUGAUUUAGGAGUCCAUCUAAAUCUGAAGGA
Molecule: long non-coding RNA, 1614 nt
Filed under: Canis lupus familiaris (dog)
Lineage: Eukaryota; Metazoa; Chordata; Mammalia; Carnivora; Canidae
Description: lncRNA (ENSCAFG00000055305.1, ENSCAFG00845007561.1)
Source: RNAcentral